GACGAACGCUGGCGGCGUGCCUAAUACAUGCAAGUAGAACGCUGAAGGAGGAGCUUGCUCUUCUGGAUGAGUUGCGAACGGGUGAGUAACGCGUAGGUAACCUGCCUGGUAGCGGGGGAUAACUAUUGGAAACGAUAGCUAAUACCGCAUAAGAGUAGAUGUUGCAUGACAUUUACUUAAAAGGUGCAAUUGCAUCACUACCAGAUGGACCUGCGUUGUAUUAGCUAGUUGGUGGGGUAACGGCUUACCAAGGCGACGAUACAUAGCCGACCUGAGAGGGUGAUCGGCCACACUGGGACUGAGACACGGCCCAGACUCCUACGGGAGGCAGCAGUAGGGAAGCUUCGGCAAUGGACGGAAGUCUGACCGAGCAACGCCGCGUGAGGGAAGAAGGGUUUCGGAUCGUAAAGCUCUGUUGUAAGAGAAGAACGAGUGUGAGAGUGGAAAGUUCACACUGUGACGGUAUCUUACCAGAAAGGGACGGCUAACUACGUG
This 495-nucleotide ribosomal RNA is filed under the name uncultured bacterium. Its description in RNAcentral is "partial 16S ribosomal RNA". It matches the Rfam family "Bacterial small subunit ribosomal RNA", at positions 28 to 507 of the family's 1533-position model. The record is from RNAcentral.